RNAcentral lists this long non-coding RNA (263 nucleotides) under Mytilus galloprovincialis (Mediterranean mussel). Lineage: Eukaryota; Metazoa; Mollusca; Bivalvia; Mytilida; Mytilidae. The record is from RNAcentral.
GCUUUAUAUGCAAAUUUCGGUAUAAAAAACUACUUUACACAGCUACCCUCCGUAUCAUUUAUAUAGAAUUGUAUUCCUCUCAUUGACUUAUACCAAAUACCAGUUUCUUAGUUAAAAUUAAUUGGUUUUAAAACUGUUAUUCAUCAAAAUAUAAAGUGUCGCUCGGGGUGUCAGAUUUUGCGUCGCAAGGGGUAGAGGCUUGUCAUAAAAAAAUACAUAUUUGCAUGUAAUUUAGUCUUCAUAUGAUACAUUUUAUUUCAAAC